Molecule: long non-coding RNA, 387 nt
Filed under: Nicotiana benthamiana
Lineage: Eukaryota; Viridiplantae; Streptophyta; Magnoliopsida; Solanales; Solanaceae
Description: long non-coding RNA (NBEN_LNC031002)
Source: RNAcentral
CUCUGGUCCCACCACACGUGCCACUAAGCGUGCUCGCUUCACCACACGCGCCCCCUCAGCUCGUUCCCGUUUCACAAAUCGUUCACUUCCUAUGGACUCCACGAAUGAAUCCUCCGGGUCGGGUAUCCGAGCCCGCCUUUCGGGUUCGGGUAAGGAAAAAGAACACGAAAUUAGGGAUAGGGAUGAUGAAGAUGCUAAAGAUAAUGAUAAUGAAAGUGAAAAUGAUGUAGGGAUUUUGCACCCGAGCCCGCCGUUCGGGUUCGGGUAAGGAAAAAGAACACGAAAUUAGGGAUAGGGAUGAUGAAGAUGAUAAUGACAAUGAUAAUGAAAGUGAAAAUGAUGUAGGGAUUUUGCAUCCUAAUUUUACGUCAGCAAGUAGUGCACUUC